AGGGGGGGGUGAAUUGGUUUCUUCUAAAUUUUUGGUGUUUAAAAAGGACUUUCUUAAUUGAGUGCGGUGGAUGCUUUCUUAGAUUACUUGAAUGAAUUAAGCUAGUGCAAGAAUAGAAGAUAAUGCAAGAGUAAAUGUAAAUACAAGCACAAACACAAACACAACAAUAUAUAGUGGUUCGGUGCUCUCCUUAGCACCUACGUCCACUCCCCAAGCAAUCCCUUGGGAUUUCACUAUAAUCUCGCGGAUUACAGUUGGAUUGUUUUCCGGGCUCACAAUCCAAAAACCUUUGUUGGUUUUACGGGCUCACCAACGAACCUAUACCCUUUGGUUUUCCGGGUUCACCAAAAACCUUUGUUGGUUUUGCGGGCUCACCAACGAACCUUUACACUUUGGUUUUCCGGGUUCACCAAAAACCUUUGUUGGUUUUGCGGACUCACCAACGAACCUUUACACUUUGGUUUUCCGGGUUCACCAAAAACCUUAGUUGGUUUUACGGGUUCACCAACGAACCUUUACAAGUAGUUUGAUAAACAAAAAGAAGGAUUCAAACUCCUAAAUGAGCAAAUGUAACAAUAUGAACUACAAAGAAGAGUUAGAGAAUAUUUAUCGCUUUGAAGUUGCUUCUCUCUUCUUUUUCAAGGAUGCUUCACUUCUUCAAGGGAGGAUGGAGCUCUUGAUGCCUCUUUGAAACUGCUCAAUCCCUUUCUUUGAUUGUUGA
This 721-nucleotide long non-coding RNA is filed under the name Phoenix dactylifera (date palm). RNAcentral describes it as "long non-coding RNA (PDAC_LNC014230)". Lineage: Eukaryota; Viridiplantae; Streptophyta; Magnoliopsida; Arecales; Arecaceae. The record is from RNAcentral.